Molecule: transfer RNA, 90 nt
Filed under: Anaerolineae bacterium
Lineage: Bacteria; Bacillati; Chloroflexota; Anaerolineae
Description: tRNA-Ser
Rfam family: tRNA
About the family: Transfer RNA (tRNA) molecules are approximately 80 nucleotides in length. Their secondary structure includes four short double-helical elements and three loops (D, anti-codon, and T loops).
Source: RNAcentral
GGAGGGAUGGCCGAGUGGACGAUGGCGACGGUCUUGAAAACCGUUGUGGCGGCGACGUCACCGGGGGUUCGAAUCCCUCUCCCUCCGCCA